RNAcentral lists this ribosomal RNA (440 nucleotides) under uncultured bacterium. RNAcentral's name for it is "partial 16S ribosomal RNA". It matches the Rfam family "Bacterial small subunit ribosomal RNA", at positions 338 to 795 of the family's 1533-position model. The record is from RNAcentral.
CCUACGGGAGGCAGCAGUGGGGAAUAUUGCACAAUGGGGGAAACCCUGAUGCAGCGACGCCGCGUGAGUGAAGAAGUAAUUCGUUAUGUAAAGCUCUAUCAGCAGGGAAGAAAAUGACGGUACCUGAGUAAGACGCCCCGGCUAACUCCGUGCCAGCAGCCGCGGUCAUACGUAGGGGGCAAGCGUUAUCCGGAUUUACUGGGUGUAAAGGGAGCGUAGACGGCAGUGCAAGUCUGGAGUGAAAGGCGGGGGCUCAACCCCCGGACUGCUCUGGAAACUGUACGGCUGGAGUGCAGGAGAGGUAAGUGGAAUUCCUAGUGUAGCGGUGAAAUGCGUAGAUAUUAGGAGGAACACCAGUGGCGAAGGCGGCUUACUGGACUGUAACUGACGUUGAGGCUCGAAAGCGUGGGGAGCAAACAGGAUUAGAUACCCCUGUAGUC